Molecule: long non-coding RNA, 123 nt
Organism: Haliotis rubra (blacklip abalone)
Lineage: Eukaryota; Metazoa; Mollusca; Gastropoda; Lepetellida; Haliotidae
Exons: 2
Source: RefSeq, a predicted model, not a curated record
CUCUGCUGAACAUUUCUUGAUCUAAACAGACACAAAUCAGCCUAUUGUUUGGUGUGCCGUGGUACUGUACCCCCUUGGCAACAUUAUAAUGGAAUCGUCUGACCUACUUAUUUUUUUGGAAGU